RNAcentral lists this long non-coding RNA (787 nucleotides) under Rattus norvegicus (Norway rat). Its description in RNAcentral is "long non-coding RNA NONRATT015735". The record is from RNAcentral. Lineage: Eukaryota; Metazoa; Chordata; Mammalia; Rodentia; Muridae.
CUCAGUUUUUAUUUCAGGGUCAUGUUUUUAAGAAGGUGGUGUUGGCGGUUUACAUAUGUGGGAACGUGACUUUUCUCAUGAUAUUCUUGUCUGCAAUCAGCCAUGUUUGAGCACGAAAAGACUUGUUUUUUUGUGGGUCAUGAUGAUCAUCAAAAUGAGGAGAGACCUGAUGCGUGUACUGACCACCUGGCGCACAUACUGAUUCAGAAGACCCCUGGGCAUCGCUCUAGAGGAAUUCUGAAGUCUGGUUUUCUUGGCUCACAUUCAAGUGGGCUAUAUGACACAUGCAUUGAUAUCAAUCAAGGCUUUAUGCGUAAUUCUGCACCUUGAAGGGAACAGUGUACCUGAGAUGACCUGACUCUAAACGUCCCACGCCAGAUUUAAAACAGGAAACUGGAAAGGAAGAUAGCAAGUGAAGACAAUUAUCUCAGGCAAAGAAUAAGUGGAGAUUGUAUCCUUAGGAAUGAGACAGGUUUUGUGUAGCCCAGGCUGGCUUCUAACUGAUUGUAUAACCAAAGAGACCCGGAACCUGUGAUCUUCCUGCCUGUGCUUCCUGGGUGGCGGGGUUACAGGUGUGCACCGCUCUAUCUGGUUUUAAGGGGACUGUAAUUUUCAUGCUGCUGCUGCUGUGGUACUUUAAAGAAUACAUUUAUGUUGAUUAGUUUAUUUUAGAGAUUUUUAUCUUAGAUUUUUUUACAAAAAUUGCUACAUUUUGUUUUUAUACACAUAGAUACACACACACACACACACACACACACACACACACACACACACACACACACACAAA